RNAcentral lists this ribosomal RNA (403 nucleotides) under uncultured bacterium. Its description in RNAcentral is "partial 16S ribosomal RNA". It matches the Rfam family "Bacterial small subunit ribosomal RNA", at positions 30 to 526 of the family's 1533-position model. The record is from RNAcentral.
AUUGAACGCUGGCGGCAGGCCUAACACAUGCAAGUCGAGCGAGCGGCGGACGGGUGAGUAAUGUAUGGGGACUGCCCGAUAGAGGGGGAUAACUACUGGAAACGGUGGCUAAUACCGCAUACUCUCGGCUAACCCCUUUGGGAUUGGCUAGUAGGUGGGGUAAAGGCUCACCUAGGCGACGAUCUCUAGCUGGUCGGAGAGGAUGAUCAGCCAGACUGGGACUGAGACACGACCCGGACACCGACGGAGGCAACAGUGGAGAAUAUUGCAGAAGGGGCGCAAGCCUGAUGCAGCCAUGCCGCGUGUAUGAAGAAGGCCUUAGGGUUGUAAAGUACUUUCAGCGGGGAGGCGUUACCCGCAGAAGAAGCACCGGCUAACUCCGUGCCAGCAGCCGCGGUAAUAC